AUUCAAGAUAAUUACGGGGCGGAGCUAGUGGAGCUAGGUGUUGGUUCGGCCUCUUAUUUGUCUCUGCUCAUUUGCACACUUCCUUCAGUCCGGAUCCGCAGUCGGCCUUCUAGGGUCCAAGGAAUAGGGCGAUGUGCCAUUUCUCGGCACGCCCCGCAAAGGUCUCUCCAUGGCGCCUCCUGCUCAUCACGAGCUCCAUAGCUCCAUAAAAGCUCAGUUAAGGAAGCAGGAAGGAUGGUGAUGAGCUAAGGGACAGCGUCCCUAUUUCUGAGUGGGCGAGGAAUGUGAGAAAAGGGGUGUUUAUCUUCAGCUCCUUGAAAGGGUGCCCAAACUUAUCCACGCGGGAUGACCACUAGAAGGGCCCCUCAUGACGCACCACCCCCCUCAGUCCCCGUCUGGCUCAGGCCGGUGUGGCUGGCGGACAAAGCUGCCCUGAGAGCAAAGGGGAGCGCAAGGGGGAAAACCGCUCAGCCGGGACACUCCGUGCUCUCACCUAGAAACCGAUCAGGCCUGGGUUGACCAAGGAGCCCCAGAGGGGUUAAUGUGUAACCUUGGAGUCAGCAGGGGAAACAGAGCAAACACCCAAACCUCUUGGCGCCUCAAGGCUUCUGAUACUUCCCACUCACAGCACCUCCGCCCCCUCCGCACCCC
Long non-coding RNA from Bubalus bubalis (water buffalo), 651 nucleotides. RefSeq lists it as uncharacterized. The record is from RefSeq and is a predicted model, not a curated record. NCBI's taxonomy places the organism in Eukaryota, Metazoa, Chordata, Mammalia, Artiodactyla, Bovidae. The transcript has 2 exons.